Molecule: unclassified non-coding RNA, 1869 nt
Filed under: uncultured fungus
Lineage: Eukaryota; Fungi
Description: sequence contains 18S rRNA gene, ITS1, 5.8S rRNA gene, ITS2, 28S rRNA gene
Rfam family: Eukaryotic large subunit ribosomal RNA (bases 720-1869)
Source: RNAcentral
GGAAGGAUCAUUAACACGUUCUAAACGUAUCAACCAACCGCGAACUCUGACGUUAGUAACCUCUCCCUAUUCUUCGGGAUCGGGAGACGGUUACGCCUGAGCAUGUUAGGGGAAAAGUGCUGUGGAGGAGCUUGCUCUUCUACAGAGGCUAUCCUUUAACACGUUCAUAUUAACCCAAACCAUAUUUUUGUUCAUUUCUUCUGUUCUAAAGGACGUGGCGUUCAUCGCUAUUGUCUCUUUACUACAAACUUGUACAACUCUUAGCAACGGAUGUCUUGGUUUCCGCAUCGAUGACGAACGCAGCAAACUGCGAUUACUCUUGCGAAUUGCAGAGCUCAGUGAAUCAUCAAACCUUCGAACGCAUCUUGCGCCAUCCAGCUCUUCGGAGUACGGAUGUGCACAUCCCAUUCAGUUUCAUUUACAUCCCUCACAACCCUGUGUUGGUAACAACAACAGUGUUGUGGAUAAUGAGUGUUCACAUUGUUCGCAGUGUGUCACUUUAAAUGUAUCGCAAUGGACUCUUUAUGAGAAAUUCAAUUUUCUCGGUGUCCAGCACUUUAGCUCGGCAUCGCAUUGAUCAAUGCUUUGCCUCUGCUUUUACUUCCGAAAGGAGGGGUGAGGGUCAUCCUUGGCUUCACGGCGAGAGAAUGCGAGUAACUCAUUGUAGGGUUUGCGUUUGUUCCUCAUAAGAAGUGACUUCACCGUCAUUUUUUGUAAUCCGAUCUGAAUUGGGAUGAGAAGACCCACUAAAUUUAAGCAUAUUAUUCAGUGGAGGAAAAGAAACUAACAAGGAUUCCCUAGUAACGGCGAGUGAAGCGGGAAAAGCUCAAUUUGAAAAUCCUUAGUCCACAUGGGCUUGGGAGUUGUAAUCUGAAGGCGUGUGGUCAGCGUGUGACCCGGGUAUAACUUCCUUGGAAAGGGGAUCAUAGAGGGUGAUAAUCCCGUCUGUGACCUGGAGUUCACCGUGUACGAUACACGUUCUACGAGUCGAGUUGUUUGGGAGUACAGCUCAAAAUGGGUGGUAAACUUCAUCUAAAGCUAAAUAUUGGCGGAAGACCGAUAGCGAACAAGUAGCGUGAGCGAAAGAUGAAAAGAACUUUGAAAAGAGAGUUAAAAAGUACCUGAAAUUGCUAAGAGGUAAGUUAUGGAAACCAGUCAUUCCCAGAGUUAUAUUUAGCUCUUGUUGGAGGGAGACGCCGGGCGUGGACCUUUUACGGGGCAGCGUUCCGUGUGUCGAGCUUCAGCAGGUGUGACCUGUGGCUUUGGGCGUGUCAGAAUCAGUUUGCCUUGCCGGAGAAAGCCAGCGGGAAGGUGGAGAGAUAUGGGGUUCGCUUCAUAUGUCUCGUUAUAGCCCGUUGGUCAUACGACGAGGGAGACUGAGGUGACGAUAAGGCACCCCUCCUCGUGGGGGAUAGGCACCGAUGCCUGCUCUGUUAGCUGGCUUGGACAGCAAAGCUGUGCGGCCGGCGAAGCGGGGUACUGCUGAAGGUUCGCUAUUCGUGUCCUUAGCGAUUCUGACGAAAUGGUUUUCAUCGACCCCGUCUUGAAACACGGACCAAGGAGUCUAACAUAUAUGCGAGUAUUUGGGUGGCAAACCCUGAUGCGUAAUGAAAGUGAAAGCGGACUUGUGCCGCCGAGGUAGGAACUGUCUCGAAAGGGGCAGGGCACUAUCGACCGAUCGAUCACUUGUGAUAGAUUUGAGUUUGAGCAUAUCUGUUGGGACCCGAAAGAUGGUGAUCUAUGCCUGGGCAGGAUGAAGUCAGGGGAAACUCUGAUGGAAGUCCGCAGCGGUACUGACGUGCAAAUCGUUCGUCUGAUCUGGGUAUAGGGGCGAAAGACUAAUCGAACCAUCUAGUAGCUGGUUCCCUC